RNAcentral lists this long non-coding RNA (2582 nucleotides) under Triticum aestivum (bread wheat). RNAcentral describes it as "long non-coding RNA (TAES_LNC020662)". Lineage: Eukaryota; Viridiplantae; Streptophyta; Magnoliopsida; Poales; Poaceae. The record is from RNAcentral.
GAAACCCUCACUUACCCCAUUACUCAUCUCUCUCUUCCGUGAGCGGCGGCGACAGCGGUGGCGCCGCAUCUAGCAGAGAGGCCGGCGAGAGGUGAAUCCUCUACUCUUUCCCUCUCUCCUCCUUUCUUUCUAUCUUCCCACCUCCAUCAAUCGCGUGUGCCGGUUGGUCGUUGCGGAGGGUGUGCACGGGGGCGACGUUGGCUAGAUUUGAGGCGGCGGCGCGAGAUCUGAACGAGGACGGCGGCUGGGGGCUUGAGGAGGCGCGAGCGGCACCAGGAGGCCACCCAUGCCCACCGUGGGGAACCUGGCCAUGGGAGGAGCUCGCCACCAGGGCCUGCAGGCGGAGGUGGAGAAGGACUCCCCGACGAGCGGCGCAAGUGCACACGGGAGCUUCUCCACGGUGAGCGCAAGUGCAUCCGGUGCCGCGCUCGGCUGCAUGUGCACGGCUGAAUCCGCUCGGCUGCAUCGGCGUGUGUGUGUUCUGAAGUUUACUGUUGCAGACUGAUGCAUAAUGUUCAUGAGUGUGUGUGCUAGAGUCUGCUCAUGUGUGUGUGUACAAGACUGAUCUAUAUUAUCUGUUUUUUUGUGGGAACUGAUUGUAUAUUAUCUACUGUUGCAGGAUAUUUUAAGGUCACCGUGAGCACAUCUGGCAGCACAACUCCUUCAAUUGAGGUAACACAUACACCCCACUGUCUAAUCUCCGGUUUCUUUUUCUGAAAUAUUCCGGCGUGCAGGGGCUGGUAGAUGCGUGGUCUCUGCUCAUGUGUAGUUCAUUGAUUGAUUUAAUUUUCUGGUGCAGGAGAGUUGAAGGCCACCGUCACUACAUCUAGCAGCACAAGCACAACUACAAUCUGAGGUUAUUUCUCCCCUAAAUCCUAUUCUGUUCUUUAGUAAAAUGUUUAACAGUGGAAAAAGAAUGUUAGCUUUGGUUCUAAGUAGCUGUCCAUUUGUACACAUACGGUGUGCUAUUGAAUUCUUGUUUAACAGUGGAAAAAGAAUGUUGGUUUUGGUUCUAAGUAGUUGUCCAUCUGUUCACAUGUUGGUGUCAUUUGUAGUCAUGCAUUGUAGAGGGACAGAGAUACUUGCUGAAAUUCUUGUUUUGUUCGGUCUUUCAUUAUGUUCAAAAAUGCUUGCUGUAAUUUUUUUUCUUUAAGCUCAAAUACUUGUUGUAAUUAGUAUCUCAAUGUCCAAACAAUUGCUGGAGCACACUUUAGGACCCUGGCUGCUUACAUAUCUUCUAAGUUCCUAACUAUCAAUAGGUCUGACAUGUCAGCAAAUGGGGGAAUCACUAGACCUAUUAACUGUACAAAUAGGGAUUCUAGGAAAGGGACUUCCAUAAAAAUUUGGUCAGACAAUACAAUACAGAGCAAAGGAACCAACACUGGGAUAUUCAAGGAGAAGAAUGAACCAACCUAAUUCCUGACGGAACUUUACAAGAAACAUUUUUCCGGCAUCAACUAGCUCCUCAUAUUGCGUAACCCUGUCGACGAUAACAACACGCAUAUAUAUAUAUGAUUAGUACAAAAAAUUCACAACCACAGGAAAAAUAUAUAAAUAAAAUCACAACAGAAGUGUAUAUGCAGAGCAAGGGAACACAUGCUAGUUAUAUCCUACAAAAUCAGCUGGGCAUAUAUCACCAAAAAAUGUUCUCCAAAACACACAAAAGAAGGGAGUAAUAUAUCGUUCCUUCCAAAUUCAAGUCAAGUGACAAACUGAAACUAAUGUCAUAAAGUCAUAAAAUAAAGUUCACACACAAUUCAAAGGGAAAUACUAGACACGACUCCUUGAGAUGGCUGAUGCUUGUUAGCACAUUGUUGUUCCAAAAAUAAGUGGAUUGUUCUACUAGCAAUUGUAAAUGAAGUUACAACACAGUUAUAGAUUGAUAAGUUUUCAGUUAUGAAAUAACAUCAUUUUCGAAGAUUAGAUAAUAAUUAUUUUGAUACACAUGUACUGCGACAUUUGGUGAAAAUCUAUAUACAUGUACUGUGACAUUUUAACUGAGUUACCCGAUAUCAGUACUAAAUGUUGAAAACUUUCUGUCGAUAUCUGGUUCUCUACUCAUAUCAAUUGUGUCGUUAAACUAUGUUAAUUCACAAUGGGCUUUUGUUUCCAACUAUAGCUCCGCCAAUUCAUUAUGUCCACUGCAAAUGGUGAAUCAAUCAAGUGUAUGGUAUUAAAAAGAUUGAGGUCACUAAUUACUUGGUCAUGAAAUCAAAGAAGCAGUGCCGAGCUUCCUCCUUGGACAUUGGCGCCAACAGCGGGGACACCUGAUGUACUGCUGCUUCAUCCACCAUAAGGUCCAGCUAAACCGGUAAAAGAUCUGACUGAAAGAAAAAGGAAAAAGAAAUAGAAGUCAGGUUGGAGGAAUUUGAUGAUCUGUAACAAAGUUGGUGGAUCUUUGAUCAUGUAUAUCCAAAGUUAGUCAGCCUUUGAUGAAAUAUUCAAAGUUGAUUGUUUGGUUUGAUGAUAUAUGUUGAAGACGUUUUUACAAAUACAGAACAACAAAUACAGAACAAAUAAACUAUACAAAAAUAUACUAAUAUGCCCUUGUUGGACCGCUGCUCUCCAGCACAUUGUUUGGG